AUUGAACGCUGGCGGCAGGCCUAACACAUGCAAGUCGAACGGCAGCACAGAAGAGCUUGCUCUUUGGGUGGCGAGUGGCGGACGGGUGAGUGAUGUCUGGGAAACUGCCCGAUGGGGGGGGAUAACUACUGGAAACGGUAGCUAAUACCGCAUAACGUCGCGAGACCAAAGUGGGGGACCUUCGGGCCUCACACCAUCGGAUGUGCCCAGAUGGGAUUAGCUAGUAGGUGGGGUAAUGGCUCACCUAGGCGACGAUCCCUAGCUGGUCUGAGAGGAUGACCAGCCGCACUGGAACUGAGACACGGUCCAAACUCCUACGGGAGGCAGCAGUGGGGAAUAUUGCACAAUGGGCGCAAGCCUGAUGCAGCCAUGCCGCGUGUAUGAAGAAGGCCUUCGGGUUGUAAAGUACUUUCAGCGGGGAGGAAGGCGGUGAGGUUAAUAACCUUGCCGAUUGACGUUACCCGCAGAAGAAGCACCGGCUAACUCCGUGCCAGCCGCCGCAGUAA
RNAcentral lists this ribosomal RNA (506 nucleotides) under uncultured bacterium. Its description in RNAcentral is "partial 16S ribosomal RNA". It matches the Rfam family "Bacterial small subunit ribosomal RNA", at positions 29 to 523 of the family's 1533-position model. The record is from RNAcentral.